GAUGAACGCUGGCGGCGUGCUUAACACAUGCAAGUCGAACGGAAAGGCUCUGCUUUUGUGUGCUGCUCGAGUGGCGAACGGGUGAGUAACACGUGAGUAACCUGCCCUUGACUUUGGGAUAACUUCAGGAAACUGGGGCUAAUACCCGAUAGGUGCUCCUGCUGCAUGGUGGGCGUUGGAAAGUUUCGUCGGUUGGGGAUGGACUGGCGGCUUAUCAGCUUGUUGGUGGGGUAGUGGCUUUCCAAGGCUUUGACGGAUAGCCGGCCUGAGAGGGUGACCGGCCACAUUGGGACUGAGAUACAGCCGAGACUCCUACGUGCGGCAGCAGUGGGGAAUAUUGCACGAUGGGCGGGAGCCUGAUGCAGGAACGCCGCGUGCGGGAUGGCGGCCGUCGGGUUGUAAACCGCUUUCGCCUGUGACGGGGCGUGAGUGACGGUAAUGGGUAAAGAAGCACCGGCUAACUACGUG
This 468-nucleotide ribosomal RNA is filed under the name uncultured bacterium. Its description in RNAcentral is "partial 16S ribosomal RNA". It matches the Rfam family "Bacterial small subunit ribosomal RNA", at positions 28 to 507 of the family's 1533-position model. The record is from RNAcentral.